UACGUAGGGGGCAAGCGUUGUCCGGAUUUAUUGGGCGUAAAGAGCGUGUAGGCGGCCAGGUAGGUCUGCUGUGAAAACUCGAGGCUCAACCUCGAGCUGUCGGUGGAAACCAUCUGGCUAGAGUCCGGAAGAGGAGAGUGGAAUUCCCGGUGUAGCGGUGAAAUGCGCAGAUAUCGGGAAGAACACCCGUGGCGAAGGCGGCUCUCUGGGACGGUACUGACGCUGAGACGCGAAAGCGUGGGGAGCAAACAGG
Molecule: ribosomal RNA, 253 nt
Filed under: uncultured bacterium
Lineage: Bacteria
Description: partial 16S ribosomal RNA
Rfam family: Bacterial small subunit ribosomal RNA
Source: RNAcentral